RNAcentral lists this long non-coding RNA (772 nucleotides) under Rattus norvegicus (Norway rat). RNAcentral's name for it is "long non-coding RNA NONRATT023726". Lineage: Eukaryota; Metazoa; Chordata; Mammalia; Rodentia; Muridae. The record is from RNAcentral.
AGAGCAAUACCAGGUUUUAAUGAAUGCCCCUUGAAGGCAUCUUCUUUCCUACCAUUCCCGAUGUACCAAGGAGGAAACCAAAGCAAGGCAAAGGGCAGGGGUUGCCCAAGAUCACACAAGCAAGUGAGGGCCAAAGGUGGUGCCGGAAUUCACAGCUGCGGAAACCGUAUCUCCACCUUCUCUGUCUGGCACCUUGGAGAAAUCUGUUGAAGUUGACAGAACCAAGCACUUCCUCCUUUGGGGAGUAACAAGGAAACACAAUGUAUUUUCUGUUUCUUCCUUCCCAAGUGUAUGUUGAAAUACGGUCUAAAACACAAAGCCCAGACGAAUCAACUUCUUCCCCGAGUCCUCCCACAUAGCGAUUAGAGUAGAAUUUGCAGCAGCUUUUGAUGCACAGAACUUGUCUUGGGAAGAAUAAAAUGAGACACUGUGACCUUCACUUGACCUUAACAGAGAAAACAAAAUGUCCUCCUGCAGAGGCAUGUGAGAGGGUUUAUAGCAGAGUGGACUGCCCUGCUUUAUUAGGGAGGCUGAUUGGUCUUCUCACUGAACACCACCAUGUUAGUUCCUCUGGGCAAUGGGGACGGACGUCUUGUCUGUUGGCUGAAUCUGCUAAAAGCAAAAGUAGAAAGUGUUUGAGGGUUUUCCUUUCACCGUGUCUUCGGUCCCCAGUGCUACCUACCCCUACCACCAGCAGCGCCUUGAACCUCCGUCUGUUGGGAAUGCAACCUUUGCUGAAGGUAAAAUGCAGGUACCCAGAGACAGCAUGGGG